GUGCUCACAGCAGCAGCCAAUGUGCCAAAAUGGAAAAGAUACCGAGGUGACCAGCAUGACCCCUGUGUGGGGAUGACAUGCAAACUCACAAAGCAGUCCAUAUCUCA
This is a small nuclear RNA of Peromyscus maniculatus bairdii (prairie deer mouse), 107 nucleotides long. Lineage: Eukaryota; Metazoa; Chordata; Mammalia; Rodentia; Cricetidae. The record is from Ensembl.